This 253-nucleotide ribosomal RNA is filed under the name uncultured bacterium. RNAcentral's name for it is "partial 16S ribosomal RNA". It matches the Rfam family "Bacterial small subunit ribosomal RNA", at positions 524 to 776 of the family's 1533-position model. The record is from RNAcentral.
UACGAAGGGUGCAAGCGUUAAUCGGAAUUACUGGGCGUAAAGGGUGCGUAGGCGGUUGCCUAAGUCCGUUGUGAAAGCCCUGGGCUCAACCUGGGAAUGGCAGUGGAUACUGGGUGGCUGGAGUACGGUAGAGGAUGGCGGAAUUCCCGGUGUAGCAGUGAAAUGCGUAGAGAUCGGGAGGAACAUCAGUGGCGAAGGCGGCCAUCUGGACCAGUACUGACGCUGAGGCACGAAAGCGUGGGGAGCAAACAGG